RNAcentral lists this ribosomal RNA (161 nucleotides) under uncultured bacterium. RNAcentral describes it as "partial 16S ribosomal RNA". It matches the Rfam family "Bacterial small subunit ribosomal RNA", at positions 1326 to 1500 of the family's 1533-position model. The record is from RNAcentral.
CUGGAAUUGCUAGUAAUCACAGGUCAGCAUACUGUGGUGAAUACGUUCCCGGGCCUUGUACACACCGCCCGUCACACCAUGAGAGUUGAGAAUACCCGAAGCCCAUGUCAAAGUGGUCGAAGGUAGGCUUGAUGAUUGGGGUGAAGUCGUAACAAGGUACC